GACAGAGGGUGCAAACGUUGUUCGGAAUUACUGGGCGUAAAGCGCGUGUAGGCGGCCCUGCAAGUCGGAUGUGAAAUCCCACGGCUCAACCGUGGAAGUGCAUUCGAAACUGCAGGGCUAGAGUCCUGGAGAGGAAGGUGGAAUGCUUGGUGUAGAGGUGAAAUUCGUAGAUAUUGGGAAGAACACCGGUGGCGAAGGCGGCCAUCUGGCCCGUGAUUGACGCUGAGGCGCGAAAGCGUGGGGAGCAAACAGG
This 253-nucleotide ribosomal RNA is filed under the name uncultured bacterium. RNAcentral's name for it is "partial 16S ribosomal RNA". It matches the Rfam family "Bacterial small subunit ribosomal RNA", at positions 524 to 776 of the family's 1533-position model. The record is from RNAcentral.